ACGGGUGUAGCUCAAUUGGUAGAGUGGCGGUCUCCAAAACCGUAGGCUGAGGGUUCGACUCCUUCCACCCGUG
This 73-nucleotide transfer RNA is filed under the name Bacteroidota bacterium. RNAcentral describes it as "tRNA-Trp". It matches the Rfam family "tRNA". Rfam says of the family: Transfer RNA (tRNA) molecules are approximately 80 nucleotides in length. Their secondary structure includes four short double-helical elements and three loops (D, anti-codon, and T loops). Lineage: Bacteria; Pseudomonadati; Bacteroidota. RNAcentral also lists the same sequence under 1 other name. The record is from RNAcentral.